Molecule: ribosomal RNA, 303 nt
Filed under: uncultured bacterium
Lineage: Bacteria
Description: partial 16S ribosomal RNA
Rfam family: Bacterial small subunit ribosomal RNA
Source: RNAcentral
AGCAGUCGCCACGGGAAUACGGAGGGUGCAAGCGUUAUCCGGAUUUAUUGGGUUUAAAGGGUCCGUAGGCGGAUCUGUAAGUCAGUGGUAAAAUCUCACAGCUUAACUGUGAAACUGCCAUUGAUACUGCAGGUCUUGAGUAAAUUUGAAGUGGCUGGAAUAAGUAGUGUAGCGGUGAAAUGCAUAGAUAUUACUUAGAACACCAAUUGCGAAGGCAGGUCACUAAGAUUUAACUGACGCUGAUGGACGAAAGCGUGGGGAGCGAACAGGAUUAGAUACCCCAGUAGUCCCUGUCUCUUAUAC